GAUGAACGCUGGCGGCAGGCCUAACACAUGCAAGUCGAGCGCGGUACUUGUACCGAGCGGCAGACGGGUGAGUAACACGUGGAAAUCUACCUAUUGGUGGGGAAUAACUUCGGGAAACUGAAGCUAAUACCGCAUACGCCCUGAGGGGGAAAGAUUUAUCGCCGAUGGAUGAGUCCGCGUCUGAUUAGCUAGUUGGUAGGGUAAAGGCCUACCAAGGCGACGAUCAGUAGCUGGUCUGAGAGGAUGAUCAGCCACAUUGGGACUGAGACACGGCCCAAACUCCUACGGGAGGCAGCAGUGGGGAAUAUUGGGCAAUGGGCGCAAGCCUGAUCCAGCCAUGCCGCGUGAGUGAUGAAGGCCUUAGGGUUGUAAAGCUCUUUCACCGGUGAAGAUAAUGACGGUAACCGGAGAAGAAGCCCCGGCUAACUUCGUGCCAGCCGCCGCCGUAA
This 449-nucleotide ribosomal RNA is filed under the name uncultured bacterium. RNAcentral's name for it is "partial 16S ribosomal RNA". It matches the Rfam family "Bacterial small subunit ribosomal RNA", at positions 28 to 523 of the family's 1533-position model. The record is from RNAcentral.